UACGUAGGCAGCGAGCGUUGUUCGGAAUUACUGGGCGUAAAGCGCGUGUAGGCGGUUGCCCAAGUCGGGUGUGAAAGCCUUGAGCUCAACUCAAGAAAUGCACUCGGUACUGGGUGACUAGAGGACCGGAGAGGAUAGUGGAAUUCCCAGUGUAGUGGUGAAAUACGUAGAGAUUGGGAAGAACACCAGUGGCGAAGGCGGCUAUCUGGACGGUUUCUGACGCUAAGACGCGAAAGCGUGGGGAGCAAACAGG
This 253-nucleotide ribosomal RNA is filed under the name uncultured bacterium. RNAcentral's name for it is "partial 16S ribosomal RNA". It matches the Rfam family "Bacterial small subunit ribosomal RNA", at positions 524 to 776 of the family's 1533-position model. The record is from RNAcentral.